Molecule: long non-coding RNA, 611 nt
Organism: Suricata suricatta (meerkat)
Lineage: Eukaryota; Metazoa; Chordata; Mammalia; Carnivora; Herpestidae
Exons: 3
Source: RefSeq, a predicted model, not a curated record
GCAGAUGAUAAAUCCCAUAUGAGUUUCCCAGAGGAGGAAUUUGAAAUCCAUGAAGAAGCCUGACCUUGGAGAGGCCUGAUAACAUACAUCUGGAGUUGUUGGUGGCAAAAGAGGAGACCACUAGGCAGCUCUUCUGUGUUAUAGAAAAGGCAAAGCUUUUAGAGGAUAAGUUUGGGUACAUGCCCCCAUCUUGUGAGAGAAGUGGGAAUUGGGUUGCAUAAUGCAGGUGAGGCAGAGGCUCCUUGGCCGGGACCACUACCCUUGGGAACAUCCCGUUGUCUGCUCUGGGCUAGCAUCUCUGCUUCCAUUCAGAAAAGACUCCGAGGAAGUACCCUCUGCUUCCUCCUCUGGGUUUCUACGUCCUUUUUCUUUAAAAGGAAAGAGAGAAGCCUGGUGAGACUGGAUGUCCAUGAAAGCUGUUCUCUUCAGCCUUCCUCCAAGGUCGGGAGAUCUAGUGACGUUUAGGGAAGAAUGGGGGACCGCCAGGCUAAAGCCUCCUCCUCCUCCUCCUGAGUCCAACCAUGCAUUUCUUGUAACGGGUGCAAUGUUUCCCCUCUAAGGUUGGGAGAAAUGUUCUCGGACUGCCCGUGGCCACUAUGUGCCUCUUAAAG